CUCUUCUCUUCUCUUCUCUUCUCUUCUCUUCUCUUCUCUUCUCUUCUCUUCUCUUCUCUUCUCUUCUCUUCUCUUCUUUCUGAUGAGCCACUUCUGGUGGAGCUCAGUGCUUUUUUUUUUAUUUUUUAUUGUCUCACUGCAACAAUCUUCACUCCUGAGGUUGACUGCUGUACUCUGAUUGAAGCUAAAUGAUAACAUACUAAAAAUAGGCAGCUAAAGGCAUCGAGGUGGCUUUUCUACUAGGGGAAAUUAAAUUUUAGGCCGCAACGCUGGAUGCUGCAGCUUUUUGACCAAAAGUGGUCAUUGGAUUGGGUUUCCCCUCAUGGCUUCCUUCCCUCCUCUGUGGAGUUCAUUUUUAGCGAUCAGUGGCCUAACCUGUUAGCGCUGCCACAGCUCACCAUACAUGUGUUUAAGAAAAAUAAGUAGGAGAUAUGUUUGUUGAUCUGCCAGGGGAAAAAAAGAGAGAAAACGGGUGGGAGAGCAUCGGUGGCGAGUGGGAAGAGCGAGAAGAGAUGCUUAGGAUUUGCCUUUGGAUGUGAGAGUCUGCUUUAUCGUUGCAUGUCCAUGGGCAUCGGUUUAUUCCCACGCCCUCUUUUGAAGUGUGGAAAAUGGUUGCCAGUCAGCAGCCUUCGGAAAAAUAAAUAAAUAAAUAAACAUAAAAAACUUCCUCUCUUUGGUGGAUGUAGAUAUUUUUAUAUUUAUACUUAUUUAUUUAGCCAGAGGGCAUUAAGCGGAGUGAUGCUGUGUGGCCCAAGGCAGCGUCAGGAUACUGGCUGUCUCAGCUGGCUUGUUAGUGAGGUGUCAAAUGCUUCAAUUUCUUUACACACGCACGUAUGCGCACACACUCUGCUCAUCCAGGCCACAUAUACACAGUCAUUAAAGCAAUGUCGGACUUGUGCCAGCAUCUUUUUAGCAUCCAAGACUUUAGCCCUUCUUGGAUGUUUACAAAUCCCGUAAUGGACAAAAAUGUAAAGUCCACUUUCACUGCGGUGUGAGCAUGCUAAAAUAGAGAAAUACAAUCAACUCAGAGGAGGAAAUUGUAGUUUAAACUACAAUAAAGGCUGCCACCAGUGGUUAUGUUAUAUAAUUGAUUAAUGUUAACUGAUAACUAUUUAAUUACAGGAAAUUAAAAAAAAAAGUGGCCUGUGUUGAUGUCCAAGUCAGGUAAAAAACGUGAUAAUUCCAUAACAUAAAGAAAAGCAGCCAAUGCCCAUUACUAAGAGGCUACAUGUGUGUGAUGUCUGUCUUUUUAAAGAAAAAGGACAUUGAAGGAUUUAUCAGAACAGCUGACAGUUUACCUGCAUACCAGCUCUGGUUGGUAUUUAUAAUAUUGAUUCAUCAUCUUGGCUUCACAAAGCUUUCAAUUUCUUCCUGCAAUCCGUUAUUGUUAAUGCAUGUACCGGUGCUGUGAGUGAGGGCAGGCACUAAACGCUCUUGUAAUUACUGUAUCCUAUUAUUGACAGGCAAAUAGAUGCUUUCUUGCCAAGAAAUUGAUCAGUACAAGAUUGGUAUCUUUCUCAUUCCUGCUUUUAGUGAUGUAGCUGGAAAAGGCAGGCAGUAAGCUUCAAACAGCUUGCAUAGCUGUUCUCCAAAAAGUCAAACUGAAUUAAAAAGCUGCAUCCAUAAUUGCUCUGUAUUUACAGUCAUGUCAAAUGGUUUUCACCUGACAUGAUAGAGUCCUGUGGAGAAACUGCUUCUUAUCUAUACCUUGUGAUUAGCUCACAGAACCACUAUUUAGCAGCAUUAACUUGAACCAGUUGUUUUUUGCAUGACUUUAUCAGUGUCUCACUCCUUGUGGAGGAUUUUUUCCCCAGUCUUAUUUGCAGGAUUGCUUCAGUUCAUUGAGGUUUGUAGGCAUUUGUUUAUACGCAGCUCUCUUAAAGCCCCACCACAACAUUUCAGUCAGGUUGAGGUCUGGACUUUUUUACUGGCUCAUUGCAACAUUUUUAUUCUUUUCUUUUUCAAAUAUUCUGUUGCAGAUUUGCUGGUGUGCUUGGGAUAAUUGUCGUGCUAGCACAACCUUUAUCUGUCAGAAAUAUGGUCUCACGAGAAACCCUAGAAUACUUUAGUAUACAGAGGAGUUCAUGUUCAGACUUGGUGACUGCAAGGUGGCAAUCGUAGCUCCUCUACUACCAUGCUUGACAGCUGGUAUGAGGUGUUUGUGCUCACAUGCUGUGUUUGGUUUUCUCCAAAUCAGACAUUCUGCAUUACAGCAAACGUCUCCAAGUUGGUCUCAGCUGUCCAAAGGACGUUGCUCCAGAUAUCUUGUGGUUUAAUCAGAUGCAGCUUUGCCAGGGUGCCAUGUUCUUUUUAGAGAAGCUGUCCAAACAAGUCACACUUGUUCAGUCUUUUUCUGAUUCUGCUGUCAUGAACUUUAAACAUGCCCUCUGAACAUUGCACAGUCUGAGUUUUUGGGGAUGCCCAUUCCUGGGAAGAUUGUAGCUUAGUUUUAACCGUAAACUAAAUGCUCCAGAACAGCAAGCUUACCAAACCUUCCACUUUUAUAGAGGUGCAGUUUACCUGGCUGCAGUUUGGAUGUACUUUGUUUCUCUCAGGAGUCCGGUGAGAAACUUUACUUUUCACAUGACUGGAUCUGUUUAGUGAAUUACUUAGGCCGUUUCAGUAGACGCAAAGUAUGGUACAAGGCCUCACAAGAAGUAGCGUACAACUGAUGGUCAUUACCCAAGCAUGGAAUAGAAAGAAAACCAUAAAAACAUAGACAGGUGAGAGGAAGAAGAUUGGCGCAUCCAAAUGUAAAUGGCUGCAAAAUUUGUUUUUAUAUUGCCAAACUGCGCUGUCCAAGUGUCCAAUAGUUUUUGUGUUUAGCCAAAGAGCUCACAAUACAAGACUUUCAUAGAAUUGCCUGAAUGCAAGUAGUGAAUGAGUGCAUGAUUUGAUACAAUAAAAGGUCUGCCCACCCGUGAUAACAUGAUUACUUGUGCAUAUGGCUGCCCGAAUAUAAAGCUGAUAACUUCCACUCAAGGCAGUGUUUACUUCCUGUUUUUGCUCUGAUUUUUAUUCUAAAAGUUCUGAGUCAAAGUGGCGAUUCACAUCAUCAUCGCUCUGAUUCUUCUUUCAGGAUGUUGACAAGCUCACCGCCGUUCUUUGUCUGCCAUCCUUUUCCCAGUUACAGAACCUCCAAGUCUUCCUUUGUGCUUUUUCUCACUUCAUGAUAAAUUAAGUUUAGAGCGUGAGCCGUUUCUUUAAUGUUGCUAUCUGUGCAUUCUUCUGAAAAGCACAUCAUAUGCCAAAUUAAGAUGAAUUCAGAUGGCCAGCCUGUACUGCGCUUCGUUUUCAGCUGGUUGGAGGAUAGAAGGUAGCAACAGAAGAUGGAUGUCUUCAUUCGUUUGACUCUGUUGAUGUUCUGCCAAUUCACUGGAACCAAUCAGUUUACUACCAGAUAAAUAAAUGAUCAGUGAGCGAUUGAUAACAUCUGGAAAUCUCCUUUUUUCUUUCAUUAUCUUUUUGCAUCACACACACACACACACACACACACACACACACACACACACACACACACACACACACAAUGCAAAUUCAGUUUCCAAAGUGUUAAAAAUCGGUGUUUAAUGUGAGCAUACCUUCGGCUGUCCCCGUCAUAUUAGAUACUGGCUCAGUGAGGAGAUUUAUCAGUUAAAUGGAGAUUGAUUUUUAGCUGACAUGUGGGAAUAACCUGCAUGAAAGUGAUAACCCUGGGCUCUCUGUCCAUUUAAUGGCAACAUGAGCCAUUUGUUCCUUUACCAGGAUGUAGAGAGUGAGCCAUACUUCACUCCUCCCCGUCUCACUCUCAGGUUGUGGCUUCAGGCAGUGCAAAAUUACCUUAACUGUAGAGCAUAGAGAAGACAUUAACUAUAAGCCUGUUUAACCUGAAUGCGGGGGCUUUCUCUUGCCGUCUGUUUCCCUAUCGUUUUAAGUUUUUGUUCUGUGGAUUUCCAUCACAGCUCGCUCUCUCAUGCUGUUUCGAUCAGUGGAGUUUGUGAGUGGGUUGUGAUAGAUACGGCUCCUAACUCCUAAGGAGGUGACUGCGGCGAGUUCAGAGCAAAGAAGCACAAAUAACGUCGAAACCACAGGGACGGUGAUCAUUUUUAGAGGACUCCUUUCAGUCUUAGCUUGUCCUGAGUUUACCUUUGCUUCAGUUUAAGGCUAAACUUGCUUUCAAGUUUAGUGCAGUUCCUUGAGUUGCAAAGAAGACAAGACUUUUAAAAGGGAUCGAUGAUGGUUCACCUUUUAAACCCCAAGGACGCGUUAUAGUCAGAAAGGCUGUUGUUUGAAUUUGAGGUAUUUUAAUGCGGCUAUGUACAUGUUUGUGUUUUACCCCAGAAGGGUAGAUACCGAGCCGUUUGAAUUUCCCCUGAGCUCACUCUCACUGGAGAGAUGAAAGAAGACUCGGCAUGUGACUAAUUGCACUGUUGGCUUUACAGGAUUAGAGAGAGAGAGAGCAAAUAGAGAGAGCGAGAAGGAGUAGCAAGACCAAGGACACCAACAUGUGCCUGGGCGUAUGAAUAUUAAUGUGUGUGUUGCAAGCUUGCAGAGGAAGCAGUUGGAGAGAGGGGCAGUUUGAUGUUAGAGAGAGAGAAGACUUGAGCAAGAAGCUCAAAUUCACCAAAAACCUAUUAAGAAGAGCCGCCUGCUUCACAUCAAGUACACUCAGAAAGUUUAUAUAACACGCUAAGCAUGCUCCAGUGUCACAUGAAUAAUGCUGAAUGCAAACAAUCAAAAGGUUGUAAUCAGCUUUAUUAAGUAUUAUUAUGUUAAAGGAAUUGCACAAGUGUUUUAUUCACCUCUGCUCUUCUGAGCUUUUAAUAGUUCAACUUUUUGAUUCACUUACACUGCUCUCAUCAGUGGUGCUUUUGGGCAAACAAAAAAAGCCCUAACUGGACAGUACAGAUGAUGUCUAGCAGCUAAGGAAAGCAGCAUUUUCUUCAGGAUUUUGCCCAAAACAGCUCUAAAGCAAGAGUAAAUGGAAACUAGUGUGUGAAAAUAGUGCCAACGCUGACAAUAAAUCAGUCAUUGCAGACUUCAGAUAUAAGUUUGUCUCAUGUGGUGCACCGGUUCUGCCAGCCAGCCCAUUGCCCACUGUGCUGUUUGCAUGCUGGAACACACUAUUGAGAGUCAUGUGGAUUUCAGAUACAAUUUGCUGUGCUUGCUCCUGGGAAGCCAGAGCAGAGCAAAACAGGGAAACAUUUGAAAAACCCUCAUGCUCGUCUUCUAAAUACAAGUUGCAAUGAUAAAAUUCUGUUACUUUUCACAUAAAAAAACCAAAAACCAUACUGUAUUUAAAUUUGGCUGUUCUCUCCUCGAAGGUCGUCUCCUCGGACUGCUUGUAGCCCACUUGUAGACCUCAAACUUGUUCAGAAAGGGAAAACUUUAGUGUCAAAUUAACAGACCUUCAAAUCAAUAACCAUGACAGCUAGGUUAUGCCGAGAAGGAAAUGCUAAUCUCUUUUAAACGUCAAAUCAGUCAUGGAGUUGUGCACUGAGAAUUCACUCCAGAUGAUAAGAUGGUGCAAAGCUCUUCUGUAAUGUCCUAAAAUUUUAUGCUGUUUUGGCCACAUGAGUAUAGUCUUUGAUCACCACCCGCCCUACACGGUAGAUUUGGCUCGCUGCGAUUUUGUAGUCUCUCCAAAAUGAAAUUUAACUUGAAGGUUUGUUGUUUUAUAACCACUCCUCCAUAAGCGAAGAAGUCUGAACAGUGUUGUCACAUCAAACACUCAGUUUUUCUAUCUUUUAAGAAAACUUUAAACCAUAGAGCUACUGAGCUAUUAAUACAAACAAGCUUAAGUUGUCUCUAAAUAAAAAGACUGCCUACCAUCAACAAGCAACCUGACAUCUUUAAAACAUCUUUCCAAGAUGGGACUUUACUAACAGGGUUUAAAAAAUAAAGCAAACCAGUGCAGUAUAAUUCAGGGACUUCAGGCACACAAUAUCAGCUUUUCUCCACUUUGGUCUAUUGACGCCCAACUGGAAGCCUUGUUUCUAUUGACCGCUUGGGUAUUAGUCACAGCGCGCAGUGGUCAAAGUUUAACUAGCCCUUUGAUCAGUGCACUGACAGACCAUCGUAGCCCAGUGCAAGCCAUUGGAAAUAAUUGGAUUCAGAGUGCAGUGGUGCUGCUGUAGUCUUUUCUGGAAGUCCGAUGAGGCUAAAGCAUUAGCAGCAGCUCUUAAACUGCAUCAUAAACUGCUUUUAUUAAACAAUUUUUUAAAAAAAAGAGAGAAAUGGAUCUAAUUCUAAUCAGUACGACUGCUCAUUAUUACUCUUACCCUGUUGUACCCAGUUCUGCCACUUGUGAUGAAAGCUGACACACAACAUUUCAGCCCCUCCUUGAAUUCAAGUGAAGCAGAAAGUGGAGAGUACAGGGAGGUCAUGCUCUCUCGGAAAAUACUUGUGCAGCAGUGGAGAGAACAGACAGCCAGAGAGUUCUGCCGAAAAGUCUUCUGACCUUUUGGUAAUUUGUCCCGGGUAGUCAGGUUCGCCUUAUUUGUGGUGACAAGACUGUCAGGGAGCGACUGAGGAGUGGAUUCAAGGAGUGAAAUGCAGCAAAUAAAUGAACGAAUGAGGCUGCUGCCUGUCAGCUAGCCUAAAUGUUUGGCCCUGGAGUAAACAUCUGUAAUCUCCUCUUGUCCUCUGUCAUCAUUUUACAUGAAAUAAAUGUUAGUACAGUCUUUCAAUUGUACUAACAUUUUCUUUGCCUCUGCAUAGCCUUAAACCCUUCCACUCGCUUUAAAAGAUAAGAGCAUUUAGUAAAAUAUUAAAAAAUAUAUUUCUCAGGUUUGAUGGGUGUGUGUGUGUAUGUGUUUGCCAACAGCAUGUAGCACCAGAUAAGAGGACCUUCUUCAGCCUCAGUGUGCCAUCCUUCCCUGCUGGCACUGACUACUCAAUAAUUUAACACCCUUGCUGUCAAACACUUCAGCUAAACCCCACCAACUAAAUAUACAGCUUCCUCCAAGCAGAAAGAGGCCACAAGGUCACCUUUCACACGAACACGUCACAUGACAUCACGCUGUGCGUGUGGUGCUUCUUAGAGGAGGUCUCAACUUGAGAGUCAUUCGCAAAGUUUUAGCUUUGCGAUGCUCUCCUUUUCUUUGUCCCCCACCACCUCACCCACUCUUAAUCGGGCAGGGCUAGUCUGAGCUGUGAUGUUGCUAUAUGGUGGGUUUGGUAAUAGAGCUGUUGUGUUUUGGUGACAGCCCCCCCCCCAACCACCCGUCUGUCACCCUGUUUUCCCUUUAUCACCCUUUCAAUCCCCUCUUUCCGACUCCUCCUCUCUCCGAGGGGGGUUGGCAGUGAGUGAAAGCCACACAAGCUCUUCGUCUUCAAGGCCAUGUCAACCUGUCCCUCCCGCUGCCAUGCCAGCUGCUUUCCACGCUCAUGGUGAGCAAGAAUGCUACCCCAUGUGAUGCUUUCCCCUAGUUUUAAAUACCAAAAGAUGCAUUCAAACUAUAGCUUUAAAAUCCAGUUUCAAACAUAGAAAAGCUACAAAUCUUGCUCUGAAUUUACAAUGCUCACCUACAGCAGCACUCAAAAGAAAAUGCUAUUAGACUGUCUUAUGUGUGUUUCUAGGUGAUUAACAGUCUCUAAAUCUAAUCACAUGGUUGGAACCCGGCUGCUGCAUUUUGUUUUUGAGAGGGGCUGCGUUCACAUGGAUGGCUGUUAUAUAAAGCGCUGAAGUGAAAAAAUGCUCACACAGCAUUGUCUACAAUUUGAAUCCAGCUCCAGAAGCCUAACCCUGUGUGCGAGCGCCAGCUACUCAAUUGUUUGUUUGUCUGCGUGUGAUUGGGAAAAUAGACGAGUCAGUUGGAGUUUGCCUGCUCGCUGGCAGUGAAGGAUGGCGGGAGAAGAAUGUUGGCUAAGAGGAGGUAGCGAGCUGCAGCUGUUCAGAGUUAGCAACAUUGGUGUGAUUGUGUGCGCAAAAAGCCUGAGCCAUGAUAUUUGUAUAGCUCACAGUUGUGGCUCUUCCUCCAAUUGGACCUGCGGGUAGGGCAGGUGCAUCCUCCUAAAAAGAAAACAGGCCUGCUGGAUGUGUGCCACUGCCUCUUAUCAGUAUAAAUGCCCAGAUGUGGAGUGAGCCAACUUAGAUAAUUUUUAAGCUUCCAAGGUCUCUCAUAACAAACUGUCAAACCAUUAAGCAAUUUUCUUAACCAGCUCAGGGUUGCAGGAAGGCUGGAUCUACCCAUUCGGGUGAAAUAGGGCGACAGGCCACCGCACACUCUCACAUCCAUCAAUUUACCUGGGAGGAAAUUAGCUUACCUGGAGGAAACCCACAGGGAGAACAUACAAACUCCACACAGAAAGGCCCCAGCCAACCACCCGGCAGGUUCAAGCCCAAAGCCUUGUUGCUGUGAGGCAACACAGAGUUAACCACUUAAUCCUUGUUGCCCAUAAAAGACUGAAUGGUUUGUUUUUUUUAUUUAUAAAAUGCGAUUUCUCCCCUAUCUCAAUUUGAAUUUGUUUUUUUCUUUUUUUGUCUGUGUGUGUAUAUUUAAAGUUAGCAUGCUGCAGCUGGUCUGCCAAACACAUGUGCUGCACACAUACUGGAUCUACCCAGACAAAAGGAAUGCAGCUGAUAUGAAUGUUUGAUUAUUACACAUGGUUUCUAUUCAGGGGAAGAACGGUGAGCUACAAACCUUGGAAUAAACCCGGCGGUGAACCAAUCCUGAGCCAGGUUGUCUUUAAUUUAUGCUAUAAGAAAAGCUCAUGGGAUAUGAUAAAAAAGACCAGAAUGUCAUUAACUUGUGCUUGUGAUUAAAAUUGGGAGGCAGAGGGACGUUAUGCACACAUUUGUGUGUGUGUGUGAUGUCCAUUCAUUCCCAGGCAGACGAUCUAUGUUUGUAUAUCAGGGUCUUGCUGGAUCUCUGCCAUGAAAUCUUGAUUAUGGCCCUUUGAGAUUCAUGAUUGUAGGAUUUUUUUCCCCUCAUUCCCCCUGCACAACACUCCUCAAUGAGUUUCCUGUUAAAAAAAAAAGAAAAGGAGGCACUAAUCUAAAACUAGUAAGGCUUUUGGGUGAACAAUCUGCUCUGCAAUCUUUAGAUGAAGUUGUUUAUUCUAAAGAGCAAACAGAUGAGGUUGAAGAUAUAAUUGGAAGGGAAAAAUGAGGACGGUGUAGAAGGGUAAAGAAGCAGAUUGAGGCUUUUUUUGUAAACAGACUGGGGAAACGUGUACAUGUUCAUUAGAGUAACUGCAAUAAAUAAACUUAAUAGGAUUGCGAGUUAAUUCCAAUCUUUAUUGGUCUGACCUUUUUUGUUUGUGUAAUCUUAAAGCAUGCCAGCAGGGACUGAAGGGCACUGCAAGUUUAGAGCAAGGCCUGCACGUAGCCUGUCUGUGGAAGUGUGAGCUACUGAGUGCAUAUAUGAAGCCUCAUGAGGUGUUGUUGGUCUCAUUCAGAGAGUCUGAAACAGGGUUGCAGGGGGCAGCUGGAGCCUAUUCCAGUUGCCGUAGUUCAAGAGGCAGUGUACACCCUGGACAGGUCACCAGUUGGUAGCAGGGCUAACACAGAAAGACAGACAACCAUUUGUGCUCACAUUCACACCUGCAGCCAAUUUAUUAUCACCAGUUAACCUAACCCCGCUAACUGCAUGCCUUUGGACUGUGGGGAAGCCAUGGGGACAUGGGGAAAACACGCAAACUCCACGCAGAAAGACCCAGGCCAAGAGGUGGAUUCAAACCCACUGUGGGAUGCAACAGUGCUAACUACUGUGCUGCCCUGAAAUUGCGACAUACAGCUUUCAAAUGGAUAACAUGUUGAUUGAUGACGCAGACUUAAUAAGUAAAGCUACAAGUUUGAAAACAAUGAAUAUUAAAAAGUGUGUGUCUUUUGUGAAGGCGUACACACUUCAGCCAAUGUACCCAAGUGGAAAAAUGAAAGGGUUACAAAUGUUCAAAGGUUUUGAUAUUGCUUCUUUUAUUUUACCACCCCCCCCAAGUAAUCAUUCAGAUUUAAAAACAACAGAUCUUCACAGUGAAGGACCUUGAUCCAGAGUGUUUGUGUCCAUGCUUGAAAAAUUACUCUGAAUAAAUUUUUUAAAAAAAAUUACUAAUUUGACCAAGAAUUUAAGAUCUUUCUGAUUUUUAGUGUGGUUUUGGUGAGUCAUUGGCCCCAAAAUAGUUAUUGGAAUAAUAUAAAUUAAACUGUGGCAAUGUGAUGACUGCAUACUGCCACAUCCACUGGUACACUGCCAAACAGGGCAAACAUUUCACUGUUGUUGGAAAGUUUAGUUUUCUUGCCCUUGAUUUAUGUAACACAAUCAGAGAGGCGUCUGAUCACUCUCAGAUUCAUUCUGUGGCCAGUUUUCUGAAAUCCUUGGAACAAUCAUGUACUGCUGCCUCACUCUGAUGAUUGACCGAGAGCAAAUCUGUUAUGCAAAAUAUAACUUCAAAUCCUUUUUUAUUUAACAUACUAUUUAUGGUCUUUUAAGUCUCAUUUUAGUAGUUUGCCUAAAAAAGUUUUGCAGAAUACUACAUCCUGUGUCGAUUAAAGGAUCUUUCCUUCCCUGUGCUCUGGAUCAUGGGCUGGUGAUGGCUUUGGAUGGAUGGGUAGUUUUAGAGGCAGAUAAGCAGGAAUAGUAAUUGAUUACUGUGGUGCAGAGGAACCUUAUAGGGAUAAUGCUAACACCUCAAGGCUCACAGGAUCCCUGCACUCUUCAACUCUGAGCUGAGGCUAUAAGGAGCAGAAGAGACAGCAGGGCAGGUUAGAUUUACCAUAAUCCCACUGGGGAUAGUGGGAUUAAAUUCUCUCUGUGGAUUCUUAUUCUUUUUUUACAUCAUCCACAUCCUGAUCAUUUGUAUGUGUUUAAUUGUUCAAUUAAGCUAUCUUUUCCUUUCUGGGGGGCUUUUUUUUUAGAUUUCUCUAACCCUGUAUCUGCUUAACCGUCCAGUACCUUCAUCUUACCCAGAGAAAUAUGUAUGUUGCCUUCUUCCUGAGUUGAUUUAAUGAGUUUAUCCAGAAGCAGAACUGGUAGCUAUACUAAUGCUGCUCAGAAGGGGAGAGAUGCUUUAUUGAGGGUGAG
This is a long non-coding RNA of Haplochromis burtoni (Burton's mouthbrooder), 11003 nucleotides long. RefSeq lists it as uncharacterized. The record is from RefSeq and is a predicted model, not a curated record. The transcript is spliced from 2 exons. Lineage: Eukaryota; Metazoa; Chordata; Actinopteri; Cichliformes; Cichlidae.